UCAUCGGGUUCAAUGAUAAAAGUGGGAAUAUAUGCUUUUAAAACGUCUUUUAAUAAUUUUUUUUGGGGGGGGAUAGACUUGAGGACUACAUUGUCUCUAUACUGUUAUUUUCUGUGUUGGCAUAAAUUGUAGAUAUCAUUUGUAGAUAAGUGGAUUCAGAAACAAUCCGAAUUUGCGUAAACUAAAGUCCCCACCGUCGCAAUUAAUGACAGCACCCGGCACCGUACAUUUGGCUACACUGUAUCGCUACAUGAAAUAUACACUUUUACGACUUUUGAAACCACAUUCCACAUUAUACCAAUAUAACGGUUUUUUAAAUUCUUAUUUAAUGUAUUUUGAUUACUCCUUUUGCCUUCGGGGUAUUUCAAUCUGUUACUGCUGUAAGAAACACAUCUAACGGUUGCUUUAAUAUUCCAAAUAUGAGCGUAGACAUUUUACAUUCAUUAUUUAUCGACCUAUUUUUUAUUUUCUUUGUACUAAUCUAUUCUAAUAUCCAAACAAGAGUUCCACAAUGGCAUUGCAAACUAACAAUUAUUGGUUCCGUUGCGCGACCUUUGUUUCUUUCGGAACCUUGUACAGACGGACCAUCCCAACCAGGAAGCGGGUAAUAACACAAAGAGCGAUGCCUGACAUUGCCUGAUGGGGCCAAGCAGAGAAUGACCCCUUAGAGACACCAUGCUUCCAUCCAAACUGACCUACCAGACCACGCUUAGAGCUCUGAGGAGCUUCCGGCAUCACGCCUGCCUCUCCGGUGCUGUCUCCCACAAGGAAGAAUGGCUGUCCGGAUGCUGUCUCCGCUCAAAUGUUGGCCCUGGCCUGAGAUCCAUCUGGUCGUCUGUUGGUGAAGCACAGCGUCAUGGAAGAAGAUCAUUCAGCGUGUCGGCUGCUGCGAUUGUCAACGCGGCCCCGGCGCCUGUCCAGCCAUACCUCCGCUUGAUGAGGCUGGACAAACCAAUAGGAACUUGGCUCUUGUACCUACCGUGCGCAUGGAGCAUCGCCCUGGCUGCAGACCCGGGAUGCCUUCCGGACCUGGGAACGCUGGCUCUCUUUGGGACAGGUGCUUUGCUGAUGCGAGGAGCAGGCUGCACCAUCAAUGACAUGUGGGAUAAAGACUUUGACCAGAAGGUGACCCGGACGGCCACUCGCCCCAUUGCGGCGGGGGAGAUUACUCGCCUGCAGGCUUUGGUGUUCCUGGGAGGGCAGCUGUCUCUCGCUCUCGGCGUUCUCCUGUGCCUCAACUAUUACAGGUAUCUGUAGCGACUCAAGUCAUGUGCUGAUCAAUGGCUGGAAGGAGAGGGAGCCAUGAAUGGUGUUCAAACCGUAACAUGUGUCCCAAGAGUCUGUUCAUGAGCACCAAAUGUGAGAAAAAUGUUGUUGUCUCCACCUUUGAGAAGAAAGGCACUCAAAACGUUCCCUUUUGAAAUUGCACGAUACCAGAUGAGCCUGCUCCCCUGCCUCCAAAGGCUUCGCUACGCAUCUUAAUAUAACACUUUAAAACUGUCUAAAUUCCAGCAUCAAGGCUAGAUUUUGGACAACACGCUUCCAGUACACUAUUGUGGCACCUCUGACACUUAUUUGAAAUUGUUGAAAAAUACUACAGUCAUCUCUCCUCGCUAUAUUGCAGCUCCCUCACUAUAUCACGGUUUUUCAGAUGGCUGUUUCGUGCUUGACUAUGGCCUGUUAUUAGUCCAAAAAUACUGAAAGACAAGUCAUAUGUAGUAUUGUGAUCACUAUGUGUGUAUGUAGUGUUAUGAGACAUGCCAUUAGAUUACAUUACCUUUCACUCUGCAUGGAGACUGGCUACUGAGCCAGCACAGCCGAGAUGACAUGCCAUCAGGUGGAAAGAAAGGUUCUCCUCUCAUUCUGUGUGGAAGUGGUACGUUUUGGCUUCCUUGUCCUUCUUCUCCACUCGGUUUGAAACACUUUCUUAUGUUCAGAAUAAGUAAAUUGGAGAGACUAGCUAGUUAUCUCGGUAGCUUGCUAUGUGAGCGGCGGCCAUCUGAUAUGUCCCUGCAGUGAUCCCAUAGCCUGCGCAAUGUGGUGUAAACAAAGAAUAACGGGAGGGAAAAAAUGACAAUUGGGGUGUUAUUUAAGGUCUGCAGGGCUCUAAUAAUGUUAAAACCCGUAUUCAGAAGUCAUAAACAGGCUUUCUAACUACAAAAAUAUUCCGUUUAUUAAUAUUGAAUCCUACUUUUCACUCAUUCACUUAUGGCGGUCGGUCUGGAACCAAUUAACCGCGAUAAACGAGGGACGACUGUAUAUAGGAUUUUUAACUUGUUAAUUAAUGUUCUUCAAUCAAGUCAACUCAUCACAGCAUCGCUCUGGGGGCCGCCUCCUUGUCUCUGGUCGUCACCUACCCCCUGAUGAAGAGGAUCACCUAUUGGCCACAGUUCAUGCUCGGUCUCACCUUCAACUGGGGGGCGCUGCUCGGCUGGUCCGCUGUCAAGGGCUGCUGUGAUUGGUCCGUCUG
This is an RNA transcript of Dunckerocampus dactyliophorus (ringed pipefish), 2470 nucleotides long. It is a transcript of the gene named coenzyme Q2 4-hydroxybenzoate polyprenyltransferase, with no coding region annotated. The transcript is spliced from 5 exons. Lineage: Eukaryota; Metazoa; Chordata; Actinopteri; Syngnathiformes; Syngnathidae. The record is from RefSeq and is a predicted model, not a curated record.